RNAcentral lists this ribosomal RNA (921 nucleotides) under Triticum aestivum (bread wheat). RNAcentral describes it as "partial small subunit ribosomal RNA". Lineage: Eukaryota; Viridiplantae; Streptophyta; Magnoliopsida; Poales; Poaceae. The record is from RNAcentral.
AUGACGGAAGAUGGUGAAUGGAAUGAGGAGAUUAUUGAGAGAACCUUCAUUGCCCCGGAUGCACUAGCUAUCCUUAACAUGCCGAGGCCGCGGGUAGCGUUACCUGAUUUUUGGGCAUGGGGCUAUGAGAGGUCCGGGCUGUUCACGAUUCGAUCAGCGUACCGGAUGCUGUUGGAGUCCCGGGAAGGUGAGUUGAAUCAGAUUGGUAGCUCCUCCCAGGGGGAGGAGGUAUGGAAGUCACUAUGGCGCUUGAAGGUGCAGCCCAAGAUACGAAUCUUCUGGUGGCGGGUCCUUAAAGGGUUCCUGUCGGCGAAGGAAGAGUUAUGUCGACGACAUAUAGGGGAAGAUCACACCUGUCCAAUGUGCGGCAACCAGGAAGGGGACUUGCUUGAUUCCAGCUUGAUUGGAAGAGACAGGGCGGCCAUUGUUAUAUCAGUCAUGUGGACAAUUUGGUCAAGCAGAAACAAAUACACUCAUGAGGAGGUCAAAUAUCAACCCGUAAGGUUGAUUGUCCUGGUUAAGGAACUCAUCCAAGCUUUGUACAUCCCUCCGGAUGCUGGCGAGAAGAGGGGUCUUACGAAAGAGAGAUGGAAACCACCGGAAGCAGGAUGGUGCAAAAUUAAUACGGAUGCUGUGGUGGACGUGAAUGGGGUUGGCUCAGCGAUCGGAUGGGUGGCCCGGGGCCACGACGGAGAGCUCAGGCUAGCCGGGGGCCGCAAGCUAUCCGGGGUGACUGAUCUGUAUUGCGCUGAAUUGCUAGCUGUCAGGGAGGCUGUGCGUUUGGCUAUGGAGAAGGGCUGGACAUGGGUGACUGUCGAGAUGGACUGCAAAAAUGUUAUAGAUGAGUAUACGGCAAAGGAGUGCAGGUCGACGGGAAGCCCGAUCAUCAGCGAGAUCAAAUCAUAUCUCCAACAUUUUUAG